RNAcentral lists this ribosomal RNA (465 nucleotides) under uncultured bacterium. Its description in RNAcentral is "bacterial SSU rRNA". It matches the Rfam family "Bacterial small subunit ribosomal RNA", at positions 917 to 1382 of the family's 1533-position model. The record is from RNAcentral.
GGGCCCGCACAAGCAGUGGAGUAUGUGGUUUAAUUCGAAGCAACGCGAAGAACCUUACCGGGGCUUGACAUCCUACUAACGAGGCAGAGAUGCGUUAGGUGCCCUUUUAGGGAAAGUAGAGACAGGUGGUGCAUGGUUGUCGUCAGCUCGUGUCGUGAGAUGUUGGGUUAAGUCCCGCAACGAGCGCAACCCUUACUGUUAGUUGCUACGUAAAGAGCACUCUAGCAGGACUGCCGUUGACAAAACGGAGGAAGGUGGGGACGACGUCAAAUCAUCAUGCCCCUUAUGUCCCGGGCUACACACGUACUACAAUGGCAGUCAUACAGAGGGAAGCAAGACCGCGAGGUGGAGCAAACCCCUAAAAGCUGUCUCAGUUCGGAUCGCAGGCUGCAACCCGCCUGCGUGAAGUCGGAAUUGCUAGUAAUCGCGAAUCAGCAUGUCGCGGUGAAUACGUUCCCGGGCCUU